This 557-nucleotide ribosomal RNA is filed under the name Lissotriton helveticus (palmate newt). RNAcentral describes it as "partial 16S ribosomal RNA". It matches the Rfam family "Bacterial large subunit ribosomal RNA", at positions 1816 to 2600 of the family's 2925-position model. The record is from RNAcentral. Lineage: Eukaryota; Metazoa; Chordata; Amphibia; Caudata; Salamandridae.
CGCCUCUUGCUACACAUAGUAUAAGAGGUACCGCCUGCCCAGUGAUCCAUUUUAACGGCCGCGGUAUUAUGACCGUGCAAAGGUAGCGUAAUCACUUGUCUUUUAAAUAAAGACCCGUAUGAAAGGCAAAACGAAAGUUCAACUGUCUCUUUAGUCUGGUCAGUGAAAUUAAUUUUCCCGUGCAGAAGCGGAAAUGGUCCUAUAAGACGAGAAGACCCUAUGGAGCUUUAAAUAAAAAUUAACCAUGCUUUCAUUACCAGCCAAUAGGUAAAAAAUAAAAAUGUAUGGCCAUAAUUUAAGUUUUUGGUUGGGGCGACCGCGGAAGAAAACUCAUCCUCCGCAAUAGAAAAUUUAGAACAACCGUUCAAGACUUAAAACAUUUGUUAUAAAAUGAUCCACUAAGUGAGCAACGAACCAAGUUACCCUAGGGAUAACAGCGCAAUCCUCUCUAAGAGUUCAUAUCGACGAGUGGGUUUACGACCUCGAUGUUGGAUCAGGACACCCAAAUGGUGCAGCCGCUAUUAAAGGUUCGUUUGUUCAACGAUUAAAGUCCUACG